This 414-nucleotide ribosomal RNA is filed under the name uncultured prokaryote. RNAcentral describes it as "bacterial SSU rRNA". It matches the Rfam family "Bacterial small subunit ribosomal RNA", at positions 355 to 774 of the family's 1533-position model. The record is from RNAcentral.
UGGGGAAUUUUGGACAAUGGACGAAAGUCUGAUCCAGCGACGCCGCGUGAAGGACGAAGGUUUUCGGAUCGUAAACUUCUUUUGCAGGGGACGAAAGAGCGCAAGCUUUUGACGGUACUCUGCGAAUAAGCCACGGCUAACUACGUGCCAGCAGCCGCGGUAAUACGUAGGUGGCGAGCGUUACUCGGAAUUACUAGGCGUAAAGCGAGUGUAGGCGGGAGCUUAAGUCGACUGUUAAAUCUCAUGGCUUAACCAUGAAAUGCCGGUUGAUACUGGGCUUCUUGAAUUCGGUAGAGGAAACUGGAAUUCCAGGUGUAGCGGUGAAAUGCGUAGAUAUCUGGAAGAACGCCAAAGGCGAAGGCAGGUUUCUGGGCCGCAAUUGACGCUGAGACUCGAAAGCUAGGGGAGCAAACA